Molecule: ribosomal RNA, 497 nt
Filed under: uncultured bacterium
Lineage: Bacteria
Description: partial 16S ribosomal RNA
Rfam family: Bacterial small subunit ribosomal RNA
Source: RNAcentral
GAUGAACGCUGGCGGCGUGCCUAAUACAUGCAAGUCGAGCGAACGGACGAGAAGCUUGCUUCUCUGAUGUUAGCGGCGGACGGGUGAGUAACACGUGGAUAACCUACCUAUAAGACUGGGAUAACUUCGGGAAACCGGAGCUAAUACCGGAUAAUAUUUUGAACCGCAUGGUUCAAAAGUGAAAGACGGUCUUGCUGUCACUUAUAGAUGGAUCCGCGCUGCAUUAGCUAGUUGGUAAGGUAACGGCUUACCAAGGCAACGAUGCAUAGCCGACCUGAGAGGGUUGACCGCCCACCUGGAACUGGGGCCCGGUCCAGACUCCUACGGGAGGCAGGCAUUGGGAAUCCUUCGGAAUGGGCGAAAGCCUGACGGAGCCACGGCGGGUGGGUGGUUAAGGUCUUCCGAUUGUAAAACUCUGUUAUUAGGGAAGAACAUAUGUGUAAGUAACUGUGCACAUCUUGACGGUACCUAAUCAGAAAGCCACGGCUAACUACGUG